GACGAACGCUGGCGGCGUGCUUAACACAUGCAAGUCGAACGGAAAGGCCCUGCUUUUGUGGGGUGCUCGAGUGGCGAACGGGUGAGUAACACGUGAGUAACCUGCCCUUGACUUUGGGAUAACUUCAGGAAACUGGGGCUAAUACCGGAUAGGAGCUCCUGCUGCAUGGUGGGGGUUGGAAAGUUUCGGCGGUUGGGGAUGGACUCGCGGCUUAUCAGCUUGUUGGUGGGGUGGUGGCUUACCAAGGCUUUGACGGGUAGCCGGCCUGAGAGGGUGACCGGCCACAUUGGGACUGAGAUACGGCCCAGACUCCUACGGGAGGCAGCAGUGGGGAAUAUUGCACAAUGGGCGGAAGCCUGAUGCAGCAACGCCGCGUGCGGGAUGACGGCCUUCGGGUUGCAAACCGCUUUCGCCUGUGACGAAGCGUGAGUGACGGUAAUGGGUAAAGAAGCACCGGCUAACUACGUG
This 468-nucleotide ribosomal RNA is filed under the name uncultured bacterium. RNAcentral's name for it is "partial 16S ribosomal RNA". It matches the Rfam family "Bacterial small subunit ribosomal RNA", at positions 28 to 507 of the family's 1533-position model. The record is from RNAcentral.